UAGGGAAUCUUGCGCAAUGGGCGAAAGCCUGACGCAGCCAUGCCGCGUGAAUGAUGAAGGUCUUAGGAUUGUAAAAUUCUUUCACCGGGGAAGAUAAUGACGGUACCCGGAGAAGAAGCCCCGGCUAACUUCGUGCCAGCAGCCGCGGUAAUACGAAGGGGGCUAGCGUUGCUCGGAAUUACUGGGCGUAAAGGGCGCGUAGGCGGAUGUUUAAGUCGGGGGUGAAAGCCCGGGGCCCAACCUCGGAAUUGCCUUCGAUACUGGACAUCUUGAGUACGGGAGAGGUGAGUGGAACUCCGAGUGUAGAGGUGAAAUUCGUAGAUAUUCGGAAGAACACCAGUGGCGAAGGCGACUCACUGGCCCGUUACUGACGCUGAGGCGCGAAAGCGUGGGGAGCAAACAGGAUUAGAUACCCUGGUAGUCCACGCCGUAAACGAUGAGUGCUAGUUGUCGGCAUGCAUGCAUGUCGGUGACGCAGCUAACGCAUUAAGCACUCCGCCUGGGGAGUACGGUCGCAANAUUAAAACUUAAAUGAAUUGACGGGGUCAUAGCUGUUUCCU
RNAcentral lists this ribosomal RNA (560 nucleotides) under uncultured bacterium. RNAcentral's name for it is "partial 16S ribosomal RNA". It matches the Rfam family "Bacterial small subunit ribosomal RNA", at positions 355 to 1375 of the family's 1533-position model. The record is from RNAcentral.